AACACUUUCCAAAGCGGUUUUUUGUCCAUCCUAUACAGUGUCGGCAGCAAACCACUUCAAAUUUGGGAUGCAAAGGUGCGAAAUGGCCACAUUAAGAGGAUCACAGAUAGUGAUAUCAAUUCCCUGGUGUUGGAGAUCGCAGGCGUCAACAUCAGCACCACCUAUAUCACGUGUCCGGCAGAACCCCACAUGACCCUGGGCAUCAGACUGCCGUUCAUGACAAUGAUCAUCAAAAACCUCAAGAGGUAUUUCUCCUUCGAAGUGCAAGUGCUAGACGAUAAAAAUUUUCCCCGACGUUUCCGAGCAAGCAAUUACGUGACCACCACGCGAGUAAAUCCGUUCAACUGCACCAUGCCCCUAAGUCUGGGCGACAGCUGGAAAUGCAUAUCUUUCAACUUGUCGGACUUCACGAGAAAAGUGUACGGCACGCGGUAUGUGGAGACCCAGCGAGUGCAGAUCAACGCCAACUGUAGGAUCAGGAGGGUUUACUUCUCCGACCGAGUCUACUCCAAGGACGAGCUUCCGGGAGAGUUUAAGAUUUUUCUGCCCAUCCAAGAUCAGCCGACGAGUCAGCAGGCCAGUCAGCAGGCGCCACCAGUCGCCCAGACCUGA
Molecule: RNA transcript, 612 nt
Organism: Cynoglossus semilaevis (tongue sole)
Lineage: Eukaryota; Metazoa; Chordata; Actinopteri; Pleuronectiformes; Cynoglossidae
Gene name: cilia- and flagella-associated protein 20 pseudogene
Exons: 1
Source: RefSeq, a predicted model, not a curated record